This 406-nucleotide ribosomal RNA is filed under the name uncultured bacterium. Its description in RNAcentral is "partial 16S ribosomal RNA". It matches the Rfam family "Bacterial small subunit ribosomal RNA", at positions 30 to 526 of the family's 1533-position model. The record is from RNAcentral.
AUUGAACGCUGGCGGCAGGCCUAACACAUGCAAGUCGAACGAGUGGCGGACGGGUGAGUAAUGUCUGGGAAACUGCCCGAUGGAGGGGGAUAACUACUGGAAACGGUAGCUAAUACCGCAUACCAUCGGAUGUGCCCAGAUGGGAUGAGCUUGUAGGUGAGGUAACGGCUCACCGAGGCGACGAUCCCUAGCUGGUCUGAGAGGAUGACCAGCCACACUGGAACUGAUACACGGUCCAUAUUCCUAAGGGAGGCAGAAGUGGGGAAUAUUGCACAAUGGGCGCAAGCCGGAUGCAGCCAUGUGGGGUGUAGGAAGAAGGCCUUCGGGUUGUAAAGUACGUUAAGCGGGGAGGCGUUACCCGCAGAAGGAGCACCGGCUAACUCCGUGCCAGCAGCCGCGGUAAUUC